UGCGUAGGCGGAAAAUUAAGUCAGUGAUGAAAUCCUGCAGCUCAACUGUAGAACUGUCAUUGAUACUGAUUUUCUUGAAUUUAGUUGAGGUAGGCGGAAUGUGUAAUGUAGCGGUGAAAUGCUUAGAUAUUACACAGAACACCGAUUGCGAAGGCAGCUUACUAAGCUAUGAUUGACGCUGAGGUACGAAAGCGUGGGGAGCGAACAGGAUUAGAUACCCUGGUAGUCC
This 229-nucleotide ribosomal RNA is filed under the name uncultured bacterium. RNAcentral describes it as "partial 16S ribosomal RNA". It matches the Rfam family "Bacterial small subunit ribosomal RNA", at positions 568 to 796 of the family's 1533-position model. The record is from RNAcentral.